This 731-nucleotide long non-coding RNA is filed under the name Homo sapiens (human). RNAcentral's name for it is "non-protein coding lnc-BEST3-1:7". The record is from RNAcentral. Lineage: Eukaryota; Metazoa; Chordata; Mammalia; Primates; Hominidae.
CUGAGACUCCGCGGCCAUAUACACCUUACGACGUGUGUGUGUGUGGCGGGAGAUGGGAGGGGAGGAAUCCUGUAGAACCCAGAUCCCAUCAUUCCAGCAACUGCCAGAGCGUUCGAGAAUGUCAUGUCUGUACCUGUCUUCUCUCAUCUUUUGUGCCAACUGUUUUAUCAAACUUCUACCCCACUUUAGGUCUUCCAGUAGAUACCUGAAACCCUGAACUACAAUAUAUGUGAAAUACAGUGAAUGGCAGAAAUACUUUGAUAAAAGAUGUAAAUGCCUACCGACUGCAGAAGACAACAUCAACAAAGCACACUUCACAAAAAGUACAACACAAAUAUACUGCCCAGGUUCUAAAACAUGUAUAAGAGUUAACAAAAUCAGCUGAGGUUGAGCAGAAAUUGUAUAGGAAAAAAUAGGAAAAACACAGAGACCAAUCUCAGCUGCAAGAAGGUUCAGCUAGACACUGCAAGCAAAAGUAUAACUCCUGAAGGUCACUUUGAGAAGAUGAGGUAUCAACAGCCACUACUAUUAGGCAAGGUACAAGUAUCACAACACUAGUGCCAUCUGAGAAUCCAUGUCAACCCUUAGCUAAGGAAGUAGCUCCCAACCUGGAGAUCUCUGGGUCCUUGAGGACUCUUAAAGUAGUUAUGGAGCUCAUUGAACUAUUUUCAACAUUUCAAAAAGAUAUCACGUAGCAAUUGUACAUCCAUCCUUAAUAAAACUGCACAAGC